This 425-nucleotide ribosomal RNA is filed under the name Staphylococcus epidermidis. RNAcentral describes it as "partial 23S ribosomal RNA". It matches the Rfam family "Bacterial large subunit ribosomal RNA", at positions 1213 to 1632 of the family's 2925-position model. Lineage: Bacteria; Bacillati; Bacillota; Bacilli; Caryophanales; Staphylococcaceae. The record is from RNAcentral.
UCCGUAAGGAUAAUGGUAGGAGAGCGUUCUAAACGUGUCGAAGCAUGAUCGUAAGGACAUGUGGAAUGUUUAGAAGUGAGAAUGCCGGUGUGAGUAGCGAAAGAUGGGUGAGAAUCCCAUCCACCGAUUGACUAAGGUUUCCAGAGGAAGGCUCGUCCGCUCUGGGUUAGUCGGGACCUAAGCCGAGGCCGAUAGGCGUAGGCGAUGGAUAACAGGUAGAUAUUCCUGUACCACCUAUGAUUGUUUGAACGAUGGGGGGACGCAGUAGGAUAGGCGAAGCGUGCUGUUGGAGUGCACGUCCAAGCAAUAAGACUGAGUGUUAGGCAAAUCCGGCACUCGUAAGGUUGAGUUGUGAUGGGGAGUUGGAUCAUGUAUCCGACGAGUCGUUGAUUUCACACUGCCAAGAAAAGCCUCUAGUUAGAAAA